RNAcentral lists this ribosomal RNA (407 nucleotides) under uncultured bacterium. RNAcentral's name for it is "partial 16S ribosomal RNA". It matches the Rfam family "Bacterial small subunit ribosomal RNA", at positions 30 to 526 of the family's 1533-position model. The record is from RNAcentral.
AUUGAACGCUAGCGGGAUGCUUUACACAUGCAAGUCGAACGGAGUGGCGGACGGGUGAGUAAUAUAUCGGAACGUGCCCAGUAGCGGGGGAUAACUACUCGAAAGAGUGGCUAAUACCGCAUACUCUUGGAGCGGCCGAUAUCGGAUUAGUUAGUGGGUGGGGUAAAGGCUCACCAAGGCAACGAUCCGUAGCCGGUUUGAGAGGACGACCAGCCACACUGGGACUGAGACACGGCCCAGACUCCUACGGUGGGCAGCAGUGGGGAAUUUUGGACAAUGGGGGAAACCCUGAUCCAGCAAUCCGGGGUGUAUGAGGAAGGCCUUCGGGUUGUAAAGUACUUUUAGCAGAGAAGCGGUACCUGCAGAAUAAGCACCGGCUAACUACGUGCCAGCAGCCGCGGUAAUUC